RNAcentral lists this small RNA (144 nucleotides) under Arabidopsis thaliana (thale cress). RNAcentral's name for it is "ATSL094240". The record is from RNAcentral. Lineage: Eukaryota; Viridiplantae; Streptophyta; Magnoliopsida; Brassicales; Brassicaceae.
AAUUAAUAAUUAGAAGUCAAUGGCAACCAUUGUAAAUAAGUUCCAACUCCAGGAUUUGUUUCACAAAAUAGCUGGAAAAAUGUAUAUGUAGAUAUUGAAAGUAUAUUCUUUUGGCGUUUAAGUGUUAGUUUCAUCUUAAACGUU